AUUGAAACACCGAUCCCCUUAAACUCACCAAAGUUAAGCAAUGUCAAGCCUGGUCAGUACCGAGAUGGGUGACCGCUUGGGAAUACCAGGUACUGUAA
Non-coding RNA from Acanthosepion pharaonis, 98 nucleotides. NCBI's taxonomy places the organism in Eukaryota, Metazoa, Mollusca, Cephalopoda, Sepiida, Sepiidae. The record is from the annotation of a GenBank genome assembly.